GGCGGGUCUCUGGGCAGUAACUGACGCUGAGGAGCGAAAGCGUGGGGAGCGAACAGGAUUAGAUACCCUGGUAGUCCACGCCGUAAACGGUGGGUACUAGGUGUGGGUUUCCUUCCUUGGGAUCCGUGCCGUAGCUAACGCAUUAAGUACCCCGCCUGGGGAGUACGGCCGCAAGGCUAAAACUCAAAGAAAUUGACGGGGGCCCGCACAAGCGGCGGAGCAUGUGGAUUAAUUCGAUGCAACGCGAAGAACCUU
This 255-nucleotide ribosomal RNA is filed under the name Mycobacterium sp. ITM-2017-0098. Its description in RNAcentral is "partial 16S ribosomal RNA". It matches the Rfam family "Bacterial small subunit ribosomal RNA", at positions 720 to 972 of the family's 1533-position model. The record is from RNAcentral. Lineage: Bacteria; Bacillati; Actinomycetota; Actinomycetes; Mycobacteriales; Mycobacteriaceae.